RNAcentral lists this ribosomal RNA (253 nucleotides) under uncultured bacterium. RNAcentral describes it as "partial 16S ribosomal RNA". It matches the Rfam family "Bacterial small subunit ribosomal RNA", at positions 524 to 776 of the family's 1533-position model. The record is from RNAcentral.
UACGUAGGUGGCAAGCGUUGUCCGGAAUUAUUGGGCGUAAAGCGCGCGCAGGUGGUUUCUUAAGUCUGAUGUGAAAGCCCACGGCUCAACCGUGGAGGGUCAUUGGAAACUGGGGAACUUGAGUGCAGGAGAGAAGAGUGGAAUUCCACGUGUAGCGGUGAAAUGCGUAGAGAUGUGGAGGAAUACCGGUGGCGAAGGCGGCAUCCUGGACCGGCAUUGACGCUGAGGAGCGAAAGCUAGGGGAGCAAACGGG